This 470-nucleotide ribosomal RNA is filed under the name uncultured bacterium. Its description in RNAcentral is "bacterial SSU rRNA". It matches the Rfam family "Bacterial small subunit ribosomal RNA", at positions 29 to 506 of the family's 1533-position model. The record is from RNAcentral.
AUGAACGCUAGCGGCAGGCCUAAUACAUGCAAGUCGAACGGUGGUAGCAAUACCAUAGUGGCGCACGGGUGCGUAACACGUAACUAACCUACCUAUAACUGGGGGAUAGCCCGCCGAAAGGCGGAUUAAUACCGCAUAAGCUGUUUGAGUGGCAUCACUCGAUUAGUAAAGAUUUAUUGGUUAUAGAUGGGGUUGCGGGUCAUUAGCUAGUUGGUAAGGUAACGGCUUACCAAGGCGACGAUGACUAGGGGAGCUGAGAGGCUGGUCCCCCACACGGGCACUGAGAUACGGGCCCGACUCCUACGGGAGGCAGCAGUAGGGAAUAUUGGGCAAUGGGCGAGAGCCUGACCCAGCCAUGCCGCGUGCAGGAAGAAGGCUUUCUGAGUCGUAAACUGCUUUUGACAGGGAAGAAUAAGCAUUACGUGUAGUGCGAUGACGGUACCUGCAGAAUAAGCACCGGCUAACUCCGU